This 166-nucleotide ribosomal RNA is filed under the name uncultured Bacillus sp. RNAcentral's name for it is "partial 16S ribosomal RNA". It matches the Rfam family "Bacterial small subunit ribosomal RNA", at positions 370 to 528 of the family's 1533-position model. Lineage: Bacteria; Bacillati; Bacillota; Bacilli; Caryophanales; Bacillaceae. The record is from RNAcentral.
GAUGAGGAGAAGCUGACGGAGCAACGCCGCGUGAGUGAUGAAGGCUUUCGGGUCGUAAAACUCUGUUGUUAGGGAAGAACAAGUGCUAGUUGAAUAAGCUGGCACCUUGACGGUACCUAACCAGAAAGCCACGGCUAACUACGUGCCAGCAGCCGCGGUAAUACGA